This is a non-coding RNA of Podarcis lilfordi (Lilford's wall lizard), 73 nucleotides long. Lineage: Eukaryota; Metazoa; Chordata; Lepidosauria; Squamata; Lacertidae. The record is from the annotation of a GenBank genome assembly.
GGAGAAUGUGGCUCUGUGGUAGAGCAUCUGCUUUGCAUGCAGAAGGCUCCAGGUUCAAUCCCUGGUAUCUCCA